This 253-nucleotide ribosomal RNA is filed under the name uncultured bacterium. Its description in RNAcentral is "partial 16S ribosomal RNA". It matches the Rfam family "Bacterial small subunit ribosomal RNA", at positions 524 to 776 of the family's 1533-position model. The record is from RNAcentral.
UACGUAGGGGGCGAGCGUUGUCCGGAUUUAUUGGGCGUAAAGAGCGUGUAGGCGGCCAUACAGGUCAGCUGUGAAAACUCGAGGCUCAACCUCGAGACGUCGGUUGAAACCGUGUGGCUAGAGUCCGGAAGAGGAGAGUGGAAUUCCCGGUGUAGCGGUGAAAUGCGCAGAUAUCGGGAAGAACACCCGUGGCGAAGGCGGCUCUCUGGGACGGUACUGACGCUGAGACGCGAAAGCGUGGGGAGCGAACAGG